Molecule: unclassified non-coding RNA, 226 nt
Filed under: uncultured Chaetothyriales
Lineage: Eukaryota; Fungi; Ascomycota; Eurotiomycetes; Chaetothyriales
Description: sequence contains ITS1
Source: RNAcentral
CUGAGGUACGCUCGGUGUCGCCUCGGCGCGCCGGUUGCCCGCCCUUAUGUCAUACGUGCCGGAGCCGUCCCCCUGCCCUCGGGCGGUGGGCGGCGACGGGAACAUCACUUCGGUCGAGGUGUUGCGUCUCGGGGGGGUUCUUCCCCCCUGAGCGUGACCGCGGCCGGCCGUAUCUUUACACUCUUUGUGAGAGCAUGAAGUCUGAAGCAAAAUGAAAAUAAAGCAA